RNAcentral lists this ribosomal RNA (1114 nucleotides) under Clostridioides difficile. Its description in RNAcentral is "partial 23S ribosomal RNA". It matches the Rfam family "Bacterial large subunit ribosomal RNA", at positions 330 to 1454 of the family's 2925-position model. Lineage: Bacteria; Bacillati; Bacillota; Clostridia; Peptostreptococcales; Peptostreptococcaceae. The record is from RNAcentral.
UAAUUGAAGAGGUUUGGAAAGACCCACCACAGAAGGUAAUAGUCCUGUAUGUUAAACGAGAAGACUUUAGAUAUGAUCCAGAGUACCACGGGACACGUGAAACCCUGUGGGAAGCAGGAGGGACCACCCUCCAAGGCUAAAUACUACCUAGUGACCGAUAGCGUAUAGUACCGUGAGGGAAAGGUGAAAAGAACCCCGGGAGGGGAGUGAAAUAGAACCUGAAACCCUGCACUUACAAGCUGUGGAAGCACAUUUCUUGUGUGACCGCGUACUUUUUGUAGAACGGGCCAACGAGUUACGUUAAGUAGCAAGGUUAAGCACUUAAGGUGCGGAGCCGUAGCGAAAGCGAGUUUUAACUGAGCGUUCAGUUACUUGACGUAGACCCGAAACCGGGCGACCUACCCAUGAGCAGGAUGAAGCGAAAGUAAAAUUUCGUGGAGGUCCGAACCCACGAGCGUUGAAAAGCUCGGGGAUGACUUGUGGGUAGCGGUGAAAUUCCAAUCGAGCCCGGAGAUAGCUGGUUCUCCCCGAAAUAGCUUUAGGGCUAGCCUCAAGGUGAGAGAUACGGAGGUAGAGCACUGAAUGUCCUAGGGGGUAUUGCACCUACCGAAGACUAUCAAACUCCGAAUGCCGUCAUCUUAUACUUGGGAGUCAGACUGUGGGUGAUAAGAUUCAUAGUCGAAAGGGCAACAGCCCAGAUCGUCAGCUAAGGUCCCUAAAUGUAAGUUAAGUGGUAAAGGAUGUGGGAUUGCACAGACAACCAGGAUGUUGGCUUAGAAGCAGCCACUCAUUCAAAGAGUGCGUAAUAGCUCACUGGUCGAGUGAUCCUGCGCCGAAGAUUUCCGGGGCUAAAACUUACUACCGAAGCUACGGCAUCAGUAAUGAUGGGUAGGGGAGCUUCCCAUACGGGUUGAAGCAUGACCGUAAGGACAUGUGGACAGUAUGGGAGUGAGAAUGUUGGCAUGAGUAGCGAGAUGUGGGUGAGAAUCCCACAGGCCGUAAACCCAAGGUUUCCAGGGGAAGGUUCGUCCGCCCUGGGUUAGUCGGGACCUAAGCUGAGGCCGAAAGGCGUAGGUGAUGGACAACAGGUUGAUAUUCCUGUACUACCGAUAAC